GACGAACGCUGGCGGCGUGCUUAACACAUGCAAGUCGAACGGUGACGGAGAGCUUGCUCUCCUGAUCAGCGGCGAACGGGUGAGUAACACGUGGGCAACCUGCCCCAGACUUCGGGAUAACGCUUCGAAAGAGGUGCUAAUACCGAAUACGAACGCCGUGGGUAUCCACGGUGUUGGAAAGUUUUUCGGUCUGGGAUGGGCCCGCGGCCUAUCAGCUUGUUGGUGAGGUAAUGGCUCACCAAGGCGACGACGGGUAGCCGGCCUGAGAGGGCGACCGGCCACACUGGGACUGAGACACGGCCCAGACUCCUACGGGAGGCAGCAGUGGGGAAUAUUGCGCAAUGGGCGAAAGCCUGACGCAGCAACGCCGCGUGGGGGAUGAAGGCCUUCGGGUUGUAAACCUCCUUCAGCAGGGAAGAAGCGAAAGUGACGGUACCUGCAGAAGAAGCACCGGCUAACUACGUGCCAGCCGCCGCCGUAA
Molecule: ribosomal RNA, 481 nt
Filed under: uncultured bacterium
Lineage: Bacteria
Description: partial 16S ribosomal RNA
Rfam family: Bacterial small subunit ribosomal RNA
Source: RNAcentral